GCGGUGGUAGCUUAGUGGUUAAAGAGCUGGGCUAGCAUGCAGUAGUCUGAAAAGUUGUGGGUUCAAUUCCCGGCUUCCACC
This 81-nucleotide transfer RNA is filed under the name Alosa alosa (allis shad). RNAcentral describes it as "tRNA-OTHER". Lineage: Eukaryota; Metazoa; Chordata; Actinopteri; Clupeiformes; Clupeidae. The record is from RNAcentral.